RNAcentral lists this ribosomal RNA (301 nucleotides) under uncultured bacterium. RNAcentral's name for it is "partial 16S ribosomal RNA". It matches the Rfam family "Bacterial small subunit ribosomal RNA", at positions 509 to 807 of the family's 1533-position model. The record is from RNAcentral.
CAGCAGCCACGGUAAUACGUAGGGUGCAAGCGUUAAUCGGAAUUACUGGGCGUAAAGCGUGCGCAGGCGGUUUAUUAAGACAGAUGUGAAAUCCCCGGGCUCAACCUGGGAACUGCAUUUGUGACUGGCAAGCUAGAGUGUGGCAGAGGGGGGUGGAAUUCCGCGUGUAGCAGUGAAAUGCGUAGAUAUGCGGAGGGACACCGAUGGCGAAGGCAGCCCCCUGGGCCAACACUGACGCUCAUGCGCGAAAGCGUGGGGAGCAAACAGGAUUAGAUACCCCCGUAGUCCCUGUCUCUUAUAC